CCUACGGGCGCAGCAGUGGGGAAUAUUGGACAAUGGGCGAAAGCCUGAUCCAGCCAUGCCGCGUGUGUGAAGAAGGCCUUCGGGUUGUAAAGCACUUUCAGUGGGGAAGAAAGCCUUGGGGCUAAUACCCUCGAGGAAGGACAUCACCCACAGAAGAAGCACCGGCUAACUCCGUGCCAGCAGCCGCGGUAAUACGGGAGGGUGCGAGCGUUAAUCGGAAUUACUGGGCGUAAAGCGCGCGUAGGCGGUCAGAUAAGCCGGUUGUGAAAGCCCCGGGCUCAACCUGGGAACGGCAUCCGGAACUGUCAGGCUAGAGUGCAGGAGAGGAAGGUAGAAUUCCCGGUGUAGCGGUGAAAUGCGUAGAGAUCGGGAGGAAUACCAGUGGCGAAGGCGGCCUCCUGGACUGACACUGACGCUGAGGUGCGAAAGCGUGGGUAGCAAACAGGAUUAGAUACCCCGUAGUC
This 464-nucleotide ribosomal RNA is filed under the name Vreelandella stevensii. Its description in RNAcentral is "partial 16S ribosomal RNA". It matches the Rfam family "Bacterial small subunit ribosomal RNA", at positions 338 to 795 of the family's 1533-position model. The record is from RNAcentral. Lineage: Bacteria; Pseudomonadati; Pseudomonadota; Gammaproteobacteria; Oceanospirillales; Halomonadaceae.